GAUUGGAUAGUAUAGUGGUGAGUACAAUUCGUUGUGGCCCGACGGUGUGAACACCCACCGAACAAACACCGAAUAGACCCAGGUUCGAUUCCUGGUCCAGUCA
Hypoxylon argillaceum is the source of this 103-nucleotide non-coding RNA. The record is from the annotation of a GenBank genome assembly. Lineage: Eukaryota; Fungi; Ascomycota; Sordariomycetes; Xylariales; Hypoxylaceae.